Molecule: non-coding RNA, 249 nt
Organism: Pelobates cultripes (western spadefoot toad)
Lineage: Eukaryota; Metazoa; Chordata; Amphibia; Anura; Pelobatidae
Source: the annotation of a GenBank genome assembly
CAUACCAUUUGCAAUAGUAGACAACCCAAGGUUUUGCAAAUGGGGUAUGUCCAGGCUUUUUUUUUUUUUUUUGUAGCCACUUAGUCACAGACACUGGCCAAAUUUAGCAUUCAUAUUCGUUUUUUUGCAUUUUUCACACACGAACAAAUAUAAAUGCUAAAUUUGGGGUUUGUGACUAAGUGGCUGCUACAAAAACUGGACAUACCCCAUUUUGAAUACCCUGGGCUGUCUACUUUUUCAAACGGUAUG